This 581-nucleotide ribosomal RNA is filed under the name uncultured bacterium. Its description in RNAcentral is "bacterial SSU rRNA". It matches the Rfam family "Bacterial small subunit ribosomal RNA", at positions 331 to 929 of the family's 1533-position model. The record is from RNAcentral.
CCAGACUCCUACGGGAGGCAGCAGUGGGGAAUAUUGGACAAUGGACCGAGAGUCUGAUCCAGCAAUUCUGUGUGCACGAUGAAGUUUUUCGGAAUGUAAAGUGCUUUCAGUUGGGAAGAAAGAAAUGACGGUACCAACAGAAGAAGUGACGGCUAAAUACGUGCCAGCAGCCGCGGUAAUACGUAUGUCACGAGCGUUAUCCGGAUUUAUUGGGCGUAAAGCGCGUCUAGGUGGUUAUGUAAGUCUGAUGUGAAAAUGCAGGGCUCAACUCUGUAUUGCGUUGGAAACUGUGUAACUAGAGUACUGGAGAGGUAAGCGGAACUACAAGUGUAGAGGUGAAAUUCGUAGAUAUUUGUAGGAAUGCCGAUGGGGAAGCCAGCUUACUGGACAGAUACUGACGCUGAAGCGCGAAAGCGUGGGUAGCAAACAGGAUUAGAUACCCUGGUAGUCCACGCCGUAAACGAUGAUUACUAGGUGUUGGGGGUCGAACCUCAGCGCCCAAGCAAACGCGAUAAGUAAUCCGCCUGGGGAGUACGUACGCAAGUAUGAAACUCAAAGGAAUUGACGGGGGCCCGCACAAG